Mugil cephalus (flathead mullet) is the source of this 948-nucleotide long non-coding RNA. RefSeq lists it as uncharacterized. The record is from RefSeq and is a predicted model, not a curated record. Lineage: Eukaryota; Metazoa; Chordata; Actinopteri; Mugiliformes; Mugilidae. The transcript is spliced from 2 exons.
AGAUGCUAUUACACUACUGUAUUUUGUAGCUGUCUAAGACACUGCUUUAGUGGCAGGUCCAGUAUAAAACAUUAUGAGAUGACUCUACAGCACGUUAUGAUGUCUCUGCAAAGGUUUCAGAAGAGCCAUUGACUUGAAGGUCAUGGAGGUUGCUGGAUCCUAUCCCAGCUGUCAUCGAGUGAGAGGUGGGGUACGCCCUGGACCAUUCGCCAGUCUGUCACAGGGCCAACACAGAGACAAACAGCCAUUCACACUCACACUCAGACCUUGGGUCAAUUUAGGAUAUCUAAUCAGCCUAACGAGCAUGUCUUUGGAGUACCCGGAUGAAAACCCAUGGGGAUACAGGAAGAACAUGCAAACUCCACCCAGAAAGGCCCAAGCUGGAUGAUUCAAGUUUCAACCUUCUUUAUUGUCAAAUACUCGACGUUACAAUACAAUGUAACAUCAUUACCAGUACUGGGAUCCUUGGUGCAUGGAUUUGAGGAGAAUCUCAGCUAAAUGAUUAACCAGGAAAGAGGCAGUGUGGACCCUGGAUUGCAAGUCAGUGAGUAAUGUUACCUCCUGUUUGAAACCAACCAAGGAACUACCACAUUUUCCCAGCAGAUGGCGAUUUAAUCAUUAGUUUGGAUGUGUUAAAUGCAAGAAGUAACUGAUUAUACAACAUGAAUGUUCCGUCACUUCAGACUUUAUAUUCUCCCACGAAAAAGUUUGUUCAUAAAUCCUGUUCACUGGAAAUUAAUACGAUGAUUUAUUCUUCUACGACUUCGCUAUUUCUGUCACUAGAUGCAAAGGCUCAAACUAAAGUUCAAAACAGCAAAAACAUGCAAAUCAAAUACGACAUAGUAUAUUUUCAAAGCACCUUUAUUCAUUCAUUCAUUUUGUUAACGUGGAAAGUGUGUAAAGUUUAUUGACAAGCAACAUUUAACCAAGUAAAUGAAAACAGAAACA